GGGUGCGUAACACGUAUGCAAUCUGCCCUCAACAGGAGAAUAGCUCCCCGAAAGGGGAAUUAACACUCCGUAACAUCAUGGUGUGGCAUCACACUAUGCUUAAAACUACGGUGGUUGAGGAUGAGCAUGCGCAUGAUUAGUUAGUUGGCGGGGUAACGGCCCACCAAGACGAUGAUCAUUAGGGGAACUGAGAGGUUGAUCCCCCACACUGGCACUGAGAUACGGGCCAGACUCCUACGGGAGGCAGCAGUAGGGAAUAUUGGACAAUGGGUGCGAGCCUGAUCCAGCCAUGCCGCGUGCAGGAAGACGGCCUUCUGGGUUGUAAACUGCUUUUGCCAGGGGAUAAAACGGCUCUGCGGAGCUAAUUGAAGGUACCUGGUGAAUAAGCCACGGCUAACUACGUGCCAGCAGCCGCGGUAAUACGUAGGUGGCAAGCGUUGUCCGGAUUUAUUGGGUUUAAAGGGUGCGUAGGUGGUCUGAUAAGUCAGUGGUGAAAUACGGCAGCUCAACUGUCGAGGUGCCAUUGAUACUGUUAGACUUGAGUACAGACGAGGUAGGCGGAAUUGA
Molecule: ribosomal RNA, 567 nt
Filed under: uncultured Bacteroidota bacterium
Lineage: Bacteria; Pseudomonadati; Bacteroidota
Description: bacterial SSU rRNA
Rfam family: Bacterial small subunit ribosomal RNA
Source: RNAcentral